GAAUGAAUUUGGGAGAUUGAAUAAAUCAUAUACUUGGUGAAUGCAAAGUGAUUUUAGUUAGUGAAACAAAGUAAGCCUAACUAGGAAUCUUUCUAGAUUUGCUACAAACUUGGAAGAAAGCCAUGACACUAUGGACAUGUUAUGACAAAUAAAUCAUUAAUAAAAUAACGAUAAAUCCAGCAUAUAGUUCUCAUAUACCUAAAGGGAACACAAAGUAGUACAAUGUACUAAUAUAUUAGGAUAGACUCCCAAGUAGAUAUUAUCAUAGUAGCACAGCAGAAGUGUAGU
This 288-nucleotide long non-coding RNA is filed under the name Carica papaya (papaya). RNAcentral describes it as "long non-coding RNA (CPAP_LNC008470)". The record is from RNAcentral. Lineage: Eukaryota; Viridiplantae; Streptophyta; Magnoliopsida; Brassicales; Caricaceae.